CCAAUAGCGUAUAUUAAAGUUGUUGCAGUUAAAAAGCUCGUAGUUGAAUUUCGGGAUCAGUACGCUGGUCAUGCCUUUGGUAUGCACUGGUGUCACUGGUUUCUCCCUUCUGAAGAUCCGUGAUGUCAUUAAUUUGGUGUCGCGGGGAAUCAGGACUGUUACUUUGAAAGAAUUAGAGUGUUUAAAGCAGGCUCACGCUUGAAUACAUUAGCAUGGAAUAAUGAAAUAGGACGUUUGACCCUAUUUUGUUGGUUUCUAGGAUCGACGUAAUGAUUAAUAGGGAUAGUUGGGGGCAUUAGUAUUCAAUUGUCAGAGGUGAAAUUCUUGGAUUUAUUGAAGACUAACUACUGCGAAAGCAUUUGCCAAGGAUGUUUUCAUUAAUCAAGAACGAAAGUUAGGGGAUCGAAGACGAUCAGAUACCGUCGUAGUCUUAACCAUAAACUAUGCCGACUAGGGAUCGGAUGAUGUUAAUUUUAUAAUGACUCAUUCGGCGCCUUACG
RNAcentral lists this ribosomal RNA (500 nucleotides) under uncultured Glomeromycotina. RNAcentral describes it as "partial small subunit ribosomal RNA". It matches the Rfam family "Eukaryotic small subunit ribosomal RNA", at positions 591 to 1092 of the family's 1831-position model. Lineage: Eukaryota; Fungi; Glomeromycota. The record is from RNAcentral.